UACGAAGGGGGCUAGCGUUGCUCGGAAUUACUGGGCGUAAAGCGUGCGCAGGCGGUGAUGUAAGACAGGUGUGAAAUCCCCGGGCUUAACCUGGGAACUGCAUUUGUGACUGCAUCGCUGGAGUGCGGCAGAGGGGGAUGGAAUUCCGCGUGUAGCAGUGAAAUGCGUAGAUAUGCGGAGGAACACCGAUGGCGAAGGCAAUCCCCUGGGCCUGCACUGACGCUCAUGCACGAAAGCGUGGGGAGCAAACAGG
Molecule: ribosomal RNA, 253 nt
Filed under: uncultured bacterium
Lineage: Bacteria
Description: partial 16S ribosomal RNA
Rfam family: Bacterial small subunit ribosomal RNA
Source: RNAcentral